Molecule: non-coding RNA, 30 nt
Filed under: Rattus norvegicus (Norway rat)
Lineage: Eukaryota; Metazoa; Chordata; Mammalia; Rodentia; Muridae
Source: RNAcentral
UUCUGGUGAUGUCACUUCCAUGCCUUAGAA